AACGAACGCUGGCGGCAUGCCUAACACAUGCAAGUCGAACGAGACCUUCGGGUCUAGUGGCGCACGGGUGCGUAACACGUGGGAAUUUGCCUCGGGAAUGGAAUAACUCAGGGAAACUUGAGCUAAUACCAUAUAAUGUCUUCGGACCAAAGAUUUAUCGCCCUGAGAUAAGCCCGCGUAGGAUUAGCUAGUUGUGGGGUAAAGGCUCACCAAGGCGACGAUCCUUAGCUGGUCUGAGAGGAUGAUCAGCCANACUGGGACUGAGACACGGCCCAGACUCCUACGGGAGGCAGCAGUGGGGAAUAUUGGACAAUGGGCGAAAGGCCUGAUCCAGCAAUGCCGCGUGAGUGAUGAAGGCCUUCGGUUGGUUAAAGACGUCUUUACCUUA
RNAcentral lists this ribosomal RNA (388 nucleotides) under uncultured bacterium. RNAcentral describes it as "bacterial SSU rRNA". It matches the Rfam family "Bacterial small subunit ribosomal RNA", at positions 29 to 445 of the family's 1533-position model. The record is from RNAcentral.